AUUGAACGCUGGCGGCAUGCCUUACACAUGCAAGUCGAACGCUUGGGAGCGAUCCCUUGAGUGGCAGACGGGUGAGUAACGCGUGGGAACAUACCCUUCGGUACGGAACAACUUGGGGAAACUCGAGCUAAUACCGUAUGCGGCCUAUGGGCGAAAGAUUGUAUCGCCGAAGGAUUGGCCCGCGUCCGAUUAGCUAGUUGGUGGGUAACGGCCCACCAAGGCGACGAUCGGUAGCUGGCUGAGAGGAUGGCCAGCCACAUUGGGACUGAGACACGGCCCAAACUCCUACGGGAGGCAGCAGUGGGGAAUAUUGGACAAUGGGCGCAAGCCUGAUCCAGCCAUGCCGCGUGCGGGAAGACGGCC
RNAcentral lists this ribosomal RNA (363 nucleotides) under uncultured bacterium. RNAcentral's name for it is "bacterial SSU rRNA". It matches the Rfam family "Bacterial small subunit ribosomal RNA", at positions 30 to 416 of the family's 1533-position model. The record is from RNAcentral.